UGGGGAAUUUUGGACAAUGGGCGAAAGCCUGAUCCAGCCAUGCCGCGUGAGUGAAGAAGGCCUUCGGGUUGUAAAGCUCUUUUAGUCGGAAAGAAAGAGUUGCAAUGAAUAAUUGUGAUUUAUGACGGUACCGACAGAAAAAGCACCGGCUAACUACGUGCCAGCAGCCGCGGUAAUACGUAGGGUGCGAGCGUUAAUCGGAAUUACUGGGCGUAAAGGGUGCGCAGGCGGUCCUGCAAGUCAGAUGUGAAAGCCCCGGGCUUAACCUGGGAAUUGCGUUUGAAACUACAAGACUAGAGUGCAGCAGAGGGGAGUGGAAUUCCAUGUGUAGCAGUGAAAUGCGUAGAGAUGUGGAAGAACACCGAUGGCGAAGGCAGCUCCCUGGGUUGACACUGACGCUCAUGCACGAAAGCGUGGGGAGCAAACA
RNAcentral lists this ribosomal RNA (427 nucleotides) under uncultured bacterium. RNAcentral describes it as "bacterial SSU rRNA". It matches the Rfam family "Bacterial small subunit ribosomal RNA", at positions 355 to 774 of the family's 1533-position model. The record is from RNAcentral.